This is a long non-coding RNA of Olea europaea var. sylvestris, 618 nucleotides long. RefSeq lists it as uncharacterized. NCBI's taxonomy places the organism in Eukaryota, Viridiplantae, Streptophyta, Magnoliopsida, Lamiales, Oleaceae. The transcript is spliced from 2 exons. The record is from RefSeq and is a predicted model, not a curated record.
UUUCAGGCAAAACACAGGAAAAUUUGAAAACGCUGAAAACACGCCCAAAUGAAAAACACCUUCCUCUUUCUCUCCCGAAAGAGACAUUCCACACCCAUUUUCUCUAGGAUUUGCUCUUCCUUCCCGAAUUCUCUAUGGUUUGCUUCGUUCCCGAGAGCUGCCACAAGCUUCUCGACGUCGUCAGCGGAGUAGAGGGCUGAAUCAAGUGCGAUUUUGAAGAUUCCUCGUCUCCGAUUUUCUGCUCCAUACCAUCAUCAAAUCUAGGUAGAGGUGAUUAUAGAAAUGGUGGCGACCAGGACAGGCAUCCAAGUGGAGCACCCAGACGUGGACGUGGGCACGGCCAAGGUGGUAGAGGAAAUGACAGGCAAGAUUCAGACCGUGGCUCACAAAAGUGGGGUUCUAAGGAUGGUGAUGAUACUGGUGGAUUUAAUCUUUGAAUUGCUGGUGGCUGAGCUAAUUAAUUUUGUAAUUCCAUUGUCAUUAGACUUGGAAUAUUUCCCAUUGCUUUGUAUGCAACACCUAGUCCAUUAAUUAUGUCAAUGUACUAUGGUAGUUUUGUUGGUCAGAAUGUUUAUAUGAUUGCCUUUACAAGAAAAUAUAAUUGCCUUUUGAAUUUAA